RNAcentral lists this ribosomal RNA (433 nucleotides) under uncultured bacterium. RNAcentral describes it as "partial 16S ribosomal RNA". It matches the Rfam family "Bacterial small subunit ribosomal RNA", at positions 29 to 507 of the family's 1533-position model. The record is from RNAcentral.
AACGAACGCUGGCGGCAUGCCUAACACAUGCAAGUCGAACGAGACCUUCGGGUCUAGUGGCGCACGGGUGCGUAACGCGUGGGAACCUGCCCUUAGGGUCGGAAUAACUCCCCGAAAGGGGUGCUAAUACCGGAUAAUGUCUUCGGACCAAAGAUUUAUCGCCCUUGGAUGGGCCCGCGUUGGAUUAGCUAGUUGGGAGGGUAAAAGCCUACCAAGGCGACGAUCCAUAGCUGGUCUGAGAGGAAGAUCAGCCACACUGGGACUGAGACACGGCCCAGACUCCUACGGGAGGCAGCAGUGGGGAAUAUUGGACAAUGGGCUGAGGGCUGAUCCAGCAAUGCCGCGUAAGUGAUGAAGGCCUUAGAGUUGUAAAGCUCUUUUACCCGGGAUGAUAAUGACAGUACCGGGAGAGUAAGCUCCGGCUAACUCCGUG